CCUACGGGGGGCUGCAGUGGGGAAUAUUGCACAAUGGGCGCAAGCCUGAUGCAGCCAUGCCGCGUGUGCGAAGAAGGCCUUCGGGUUGUAAAGCACUUUCAGCGGGGAGGAAGGCGUUAAGGUUAAUAACCUUGGCGAUUGACGUUACCCGCAGAAGAAGCACCGGCUAACUCCGUGCCAGCAGCCGCGGUAAUACGGAGGGUGCAAGCGUUAAUCGGAAUUACUGGGCGUAAAGCGCACGCAGGCGGUCUGUCAAGUCGGAUGUGAAAUCCCCGGGCUCAACCUGGGAACUGCAUUCGAAACUGGCAGGCUAGAGUCUUGUAGAGGGGGGUAGAAUUCCAGGUGUAGCGGUGAAAUGCGUAGAGAUUUGGAGGAAUACCGGUGGCGAAGGCGGCCCCCUGGACAAAGACUGACGCUCAGGUGCGAAAGCGUGGGGAGCAAACAGGAUUAGAUACCGUGUAGUC
RNAcentral lists this ribosomal RNA (464 nucleotides) under uncultured Klebsiella sp. RNAcentral's name for it is "bacterial SSU rRNA". It matches the Rfam family "Bacterial small subunit ribosomal RNA", at positions 338 to 795 of the family's 1533-position model. Lineage: Bacteria; Pseudomonadati; Pseudomonadota; Gammaproteobacteria; Enterobacterales; Enterobacteriaceae. The record is from RNAcentral.